This 497-nucleotide ribosomal RNA is filed under the name uncultured bacterium. RNAcentral describes it as "partial 16S ribosomal RNA". It matches the Rfam family "Bacterial small subunit ribosomal RNA", at positions 28 to 507 of the family's 1533-position model. The record is from RNAcentral.
GAUGAACGCUGGCGGCGUGCCUAAUACAUGCAAGUCGAGCGAACAGAUAAGGAGCUUGCUCCUUUGACGUUAGCGGCGGACGGGUGAGUAACACGUGGGUAACCCACCUAUAAGACUGGGAUAACUUCGGGAAACCGGAGCUAAUACCGGAUAACAUUUGGAACCGCAUGGUUCUAAAGUGAAAGAUGGUUUUGCUAUCACUUAUAGAUGGACCCGCGCCGUAUUAGCUAGUUGGUAAGGUAACGGCUUACCAAGGCAACGAUACGUAGCCGACCUGAGAGGGUGAUCGGCCACACUGGAACUGAGACACGGUCCAGACUCCUACGGGAGGCAGCAGUAGGGAAUCUUCCGCAAUGGGCGAAAGCCUGACGGAGCAACGCCGCGUGAGUGAUGAAGGGUUUCGGCUCGUAAAACUCUGUUAUUAGGGAAGAACAAACGUGUAAGUAACUGUGCACGUCUUGACGGUACCUAAUCAGAAAGCCACGGCUAACUACGUG